This 465-nucleotide ribosomal RNA is filed under the name Vreelandella stevensii. RNAcentral's name for it is "partial 16S ribosomal RNA". It matches the Rfam family "Bacterial small subunit ribosomal RNA", at positions 338 to 795 of the family's 1533-position model. Lineage: Bacteria; Pseudomonadati; Pseudomonadota; Gammaproteobacteria; Oceanospirillales; Halomonadaceae. The record is from RNAcentral.
CCUACGGGGGGCUGCAGUGGGGAAUAUUGGACAAUGGGGGGAACCCUGAUCCAGCCAUGCCGCGUGUGUGAAGAAGGCCCUCGGGUUGUAAAGCACUUUCAGUGAGGAAGAACGCCUGGUGGUUAAUACCCAUCAGGAAAGACAUCACUCACAGAAGAAGCACCGGCUAACUCCGUGCCAGCAGCCGCGGUAAUACGGAGGGUGCGAGCGUUAAUCGGAAUUACUGGGCGUAAAGCGCGCGUAGGUGGCUUGAUAAGCCGGUUGUGAAAGCCCCGGGCUCAACCUGGGAACGGCAUCCGGAACUGUCAAGCUAGAGUGCAGGAGAGGAAGGUAGAAUUCCCGGUGUAGCGGUGAAAUGCGUAGAGAUCGGGAGGAAUACCAGUGGCGAAGGCGGCCUUCUGGACCGACACUGACACUGAGGUGCGAAAGCGUGGGUAGCAAACAGGAUUAGAUACCCCUGUAGUC